Molecule: long non-coding RNA, 778 nt
Filed under: Trifolium pratense (red clover)
Lineage: Eukaryota; Viridiplantae; Streptophyta; Magnoliopsida; Fabales; Fabaceae
Description: long non-coding RNA (TPRA_LNC013713)
Source: RNAcentral
GGUAGUAGUUAAAAGGGGGCUUAAAAACAUCCAAUGAUACAAUUUUCAAUAGCAAGUUGGGUGAAAGGCUUUGAAUAAAUUAAGGUGUGUUCACUAAUAAAUCAUGUAACUGGUAUACAUGAAGACAAGAUGUUUACAAUCCUUAUUUCAAUCAUAUGUAGCUUAGAACAUCCUUAAUAUAAAGUGUAGAUUGUUCAAAUAUUUGUUCUUUAAUGCUAUAAACUAAUUUAUCACUAUUUUUUUUGUCAAACAAACCCUAAAUUUGCUAUAUAAGACGAAUUAAGGGGGAUGCAAAUUAUACAUGCUACAAAACAGCUCUGAUGAUGAUUAUUAAGUAGCUCUGGUCAUGAUAUUACACAUGGUUGCUUUGAAAUUGAGAUUCUAAUAGUACAACCAAAUAAUAGGAUACAAGUAAUUUGAAUUUUGAAUAAACCCCUUAAAUAAAAAAAAAAUAUUAAAUACUCCCUCUAAACACUAUUAUAAACAAAAAAUCACUUUUUAAUUUCAUUAAAAAAGUAAUGUAUUUAGUCUAUAUUACUGACCAUAUAACUAAUUUUUCAUUGAAUUUAAAAAAUGAUUUUAUUUAUUUAUUUAUUUAUUUAUUUUUAUAAUAAUGACAGAAGAGAUGAUUAAGUAAUGUUCCGCAAAUUUGAGAUUUUCCAUGUAUUUUUUUAUUUAUUUAUGGAUAAUGAUAUGCUCCGCCUCCACCUGGGCCAGUAGUAGGAUAACCGCCAACAUAAGUGUUUUGGAAAAGUUUUCGUCCUGCGCCAUAAUAAUU